Molecule: ribosomal RNA, 497 nt
Filed under: uncultured bacterium
Lineage: Bacteria
Description: partial 16S ribosomal RNA
Rfam family: Bacterial small subunit ribosomal RNA
Source: RNAcentral
GACGAACGCUGGCGGCGUGCCUAAUACAUGCAAGUUGAGCGAUGAAGAUUGGUGCUUGCACCAAUUUGAAGAGCAGCGAACGGGUGAGUAACGCGUGGGGAAUCUGCCUUUGAGCGGGGGACAACAUUUGGAAACGAAUGCUAAUACCGCAUAACAACUUUAAACAUAAGUUUUAAGUUUGAAAGAUGCAAUUGCAUCACUCAAAGAUGAUCCCGCGUUGUAUUAGCUAGUUGGUGAGGUAAAGGCUCACCAAGGCGAUGAUACAUAGCCGACCUGAGAGGGUGGUCGGCGACAUUGGGACUUGGACACGGCCAAAACUCCUACGGGAGGCAGCAGUAUGGAAUCUUCGGCAAUGGACGAAAGUCUGACCGAGCAACGCCGCGUGAGUGAAGAAGGCUUUCGGAUCGUAAAAAUCUGUUGGUAGAGAAGAACGUUGGUGAGAGUGGAAAGCUCAUCAAGUGACGGUAACUACCCAGAAAGGGACGGCUAACUACGUG